Coffea eugenioides is the source of this 292-nucleotide long non-coding RNA. RefSeq lists it as uncharacterized. The transcript is spliced from 3 exons. Lineage: Eukaryota; Viridiplantae; Streptophyta; Magnoliopsida; Gentianales; Rubiaceae. The record is from RefSeq and is a predicted model, not a curated record.
UUUGGACCCGUCUUGGGGGCCUUGCACACUCGGUUGCGGCUGAAAAUUUGGCAAAGCAAUAGCUGCAGGUGGCCAUGGUGGAGGAAACAAGGAGGACAAUCCAUUCCUGCUACUAGGUCUAGCCGAAUAUCCACCAUAAUCCAGCCCAGUUCUCAGAUGUGAAAUAUGAUUCUGUGUCCAUUUAGUUGAUCCUGUAAUUGGUGGCUUGGUGAGAUGCAUGAGAUAUGAAGCAAGGAAUCCUGUACCUUCACGCAGCUUGAUUACUUUUUCUUCCCUUGUUUUCUUGUCUGAA